CAGAAUAUUCUAAAUUGGAAGGGACCCACAAGGAUCAUUAAGUCCAACCCCUGGCCCUGCCCAGGACAUCCCAGCAAUCCCACCAUGUGUCUGACAGUGUUGUCCAAAUGCUCCUUGAGCUCUGUCAGGUUUGGGGCUGUGACCACUGCCCUGGGGAGCCUGUUCCAGUGCCCAACCAGCCUCUG
Long non-coding RNA from Empidonax traillii (willow flycatcher), 185 nucleotides. RefSeq lists it as uncharacterized. Lineage: Eukaryota; Metazoa; Chordata; Aves; Passeriformes; Tyrannidae. The transcript has 3 exons. The record is from RefSeq and is a predicted model, not a curated record.